RNAcentral lists this ribosomal RNA (402 nucleotides) under uncultured bacterium. RNAcentral describes it as "partial 16S ribosomal RNA". It matches the Rfam family "Archaeal small subunit ribosomal RNA", at positions 473 to 873 of the family's 1478-position model. The record is from RNAcentral.
ACACCGGCAGCUCAAGUGGUAGCCGCUUUUAUUGGGCCUAAAGCGUCCGUAGCCGGUCUGAUAAGUCUCUGGUGAAAUCCCACAGCUUAACUGUGGGAAUUGCUGGAGAUACUAUCAUGACUCGAGGUCGGGAGAGGCUGGAGGUACUCCCAGGGUAGGGGUGAAAUCCUGUAAUCCUGGGAGGACCACCUGUGGCGAAGGCUUCCAGCUGGAACGAACCAGGCGGGGAGGAACGAAGGCCAGGGGCGCGAACCGGAUUAGAUGCCCGGGUGGUCCUGGCCGUAAACGAUGUGGACUGGGUGUUGGGAUGGCUUCGAGCUGCCCCAGUGCCGAAGGGAAGCUGUUAAGUCCACCGCCUGGGAAGUACGGCCGCAAGGCUGAAACUCAAAGGAAUUGGCGGGG